RNAcentral lists this ribosomal RNA (464 nucleotides) under uncultured Klebsiella sp. RNAcentral describes it as "bacterial SSU rRNA". It matches the Rfam family "Bacterial small subunit ribosomal RNA", at positions 338 to 795 of the family's 1533-position model. Lineage: Bacteria; Pseudomonadati; Pseudomonadota; Gammaproteobacteria; Enterobacterales; Enterobacteriaceae. The record is from RNAcentral.
CCUACGGGGGGCUGCAGUGGGGAAUAUUGCACAAUGGGCGCAAGCCUGAUGCAGCCAUGCCGCGUGUGUGAAGAAGGCCUUCGGGUUGUAAAGCACUUUCAGCGGGGAGGAAGGCGUUAAGGUUAAUAACCUUGGCGAUUGACGUUACCCGCAGAAGAAGCACCGGCUAACUCCGUGCCAGCAGCCGCGGUAAUACGGAGGGUGCAAGCGUUAAUCGGAAUUACUGGGCGUAAAGCGCACGCAGGCGGUCCGUCAAGUCGGAUGUGAAAUCCCCGGGCUCAACCUGGGAACUGCAUUCGAAACUGGCAGGCUAGAGUCUUGUAGAGGGGGGUAGAAUUCCAGGUGUAGCGGUGAAAUGCGUAGAGAUCUGGAGGAAUACCGGUGGCGAAGGCGGCCCCCUGGACAAAGACUGACGCUCAGGUGCGAAAGCGUGGGGAGCAAACAGGAUUAGAUACCUGGUAGUC